CAGAGAUUUGAUCCUAGUCUUAUUAUCAGCCAUCUUUUGACUUACACAUGCAAGUAUCCGCACAACCGUGAGAACGCCCUUUUACCUCCCCCAGGCUAAGGAGCUGGCAUCAGGCACAGAACCCUGGCCCAUGACGCCUAGUUUUAUCACACCCCCAAGGGUGAUUCAGCAGUGACAAAUAUUGCCCCAUAAGCGCCAAGCUUGAUUCAGUUAAAAAGAAAAGGGCCGGCCAAUACGGUGCCAGCCGCCGCGGCUACACCGGUAGGCUCAAGUUGAUAAUUUUCGGCGUUAAGCGUGAUUAAAGGCCCCCCACAUAGAGUAAAACAUACACCUAGUAGUAAUAAGCUUGCUGUCUGGAACAUUAAAACGAAAGUCACUCUAACCACCCCUUGAACCCACGACAGCUAGAUGAACAAACUGGGAUUAGAUACCCCACUAUGCCUAGUCGUAAAAUUUUAACCAAAAAUAGCCACGCCAGGGAAUUACGAGUUUAACUUAAAACCCAAAGGAUUUGACGGUGUCCCACCCACCUAGAGGAGCCUGUCCCUUAAUCGAUAACCCCCGCUUUACCCUACCACUUCUCACUUAGUCUGUAUACCUCCGUCGCAAGCCCACCAUAUGAAUGUAAGUGGGCCAAAGGGGGUUUAUUUUCCCAACACGUCAGGUCAAGGUGCAGCUUAUGAAGUGGAGUGAGAUGGGCUACAAUUUCUAUUAUAGAACAUACGAAAAGACAAAUGAAAAUCAUCUAUGAAGGUGGAUUUAGUAGUAAAAAGAAAAUAAAGUGUUCUUUUUAAUUUAGGCCCUGGGACGUGUACACACCGCCCGUCACCCUCUUCAACAACACCCUUUUAUGUUUAUAACCCAUUUUUUCCCCAUAGAAGAGGCAAGUCGUAACAUGGUAAGUGUACUGGAAAGUGCACUUAGUUCAACAAAAUGUAGCUUAACUAAAGCACCUCGCUUACACCGAGCAAAUGUUUAUUGAUUUAAACCAUUUUGAGCCUAAAAUCUAGCCCAACCUGCCAAAUGUAAAACCUUCCUUUUUCCCCAAAAAUAAAACAUUUUACUUCUUUAGUAAAGGCGAUUAAAAAACUUCUUGGAGCUUAAGACCUAGUACCGCAAGGGAACGAUGAAAUAGAAAUGAAAUAAACCUAAAGCCUUAAAAAGCAGAGCACCCCUCGUACCUUUUGCAUCAUGGUUUAACUAGAAAAAUAGAGCAAAACAAAACUUUUAGUUCAACACCCCGAAACUAGGCGAGCUACUUUGGAAUAGCUUUAUAGAGCCAACCCGUCUCUGUCGCAAAAGAGUGGGAAAAUUUCUAAGUAGAGGCGACAAACCUAUCGAGCCUAGAGAUAGCUGGUUAUUCAGGAAAAGAAUUUUAGUUCUACUUUAAGACUUACACAUUACAUAAAACAAUAACCUAAGCUUAAAAGUUAUUCAAAUAAGGCACAGCUUAUUUGAAACAGGAUACAACCUAAAACCCCGGGUAAAAUUUUCUAGUACUAAUAUAAAGUAGGCCUAAAAGCAGCCACCUUUAAAAAAAGCGUUAAAGCUUUCUUACACCGUACAAUUAAUCCCAUAAACACUUUACAACCCUCCACCAAUACUGAAUGAUAUUAUAGCUAUAUAAUGUACCUUCUGUUAAAACUAGUAAUAAGAAAUUGACUUUCUCCUAAAUAUAAACUUAAACCAACCUUGACCAUCUACUGGUAUUCAACGCAAAUGACCUAAUUAUAGUAAACCCACCCGCAAACUCUAUAACCUUAAGCGUUACCCUAACACUAGAAUAUUUUAGGAAAGAUUAAAAGAAAGGGAAGGAACUCGGCAAAUACUAGCCCCGCCUGUUUACCAAAAACAUCGCCUCCUGCUAACCAUAGGAGGCCCAGCCUGCCCAGUGACAAAGUUUAACGGCCUCGGUACCCUAACCGCGCGAAGGUAGCAUAAUCACUUGUUCUUUAAAUAAGGACUCGUAUCAACGGCAUCACGAGGGCUAGACUGUCUCCCCUUUCUAAUCAGUGAAUCUGACUUCUUCGUGAAGAGGCGAAGAUAUCUAUAUAAGACGAGAAGACCCCAUGGAGCUUAAAACCAAACAACACUCCUUUUUACGUAAACCCUAAAAGAUAAAAGAACUGUUGACUAGUUUUUGGCUGGGGCAUCCGAGGAGUACAACAUAACCUCCCUGACGAACAUCUUAGAAUUACAACUCCAAGAAACAGUAAUCUGACGUAAUGUGACCCGACAAUCGAUCAACGAACCAAGUUACCCUGGGGAUAACAGCGCAAUCCAUUUCAAGAGCCCCUAUCGACAAAUGGGUUUACGACCUCGAUGUUGGAUCAGGGUACCCCAGUGGUGCAGCCGCUACUAAAGGUUCG
This 2369-nucleotide non-coding RNA is filed under the name Phrynobatrachus steindachneri (Steindachner's river frog). RNAcentral describes it as "partial contains 12S ribosomal RNA, tRNA-Val, and 16S ribosomal RNA". The stretch from base 4 to 936 matches the Rfam family "Bacterial small subunit ribosomal RNA". The record is from RNAcentral. Lineage: Eukaryota; Metazoa; Chordata; Amphibia; Anura; Phrynobatrachidae.